UACGUAGGGUGCAGGCGUUAAUCGGAAUUACUGGGCGUAAAGCGCACGUAGGCGGAUCUUUAAGUCAGAGGUGAAAUCCCAAGGCUCAACCUUGGAACUGCCUUUGAUACUGGGGAUCUUGAGUCCGGGAGAGGUGAGUGGAACUGCGAGUGUAGAGGUGAAAUUCGUAGAUAUUCGCAAGAACACCAGUGGCGAAGGCGGCUCACUGGCCCGGUACUGACGCUGAGGUGCGAAAGCGUGGGGAGCAAACAGG
RNAcentral lists this ribosomal RNA (253 nucleotides) under uncultured bacterium. RNAcentral describes it as "partial 16S ribosomal RNA". It matches the Rfam family "Bacterial small subunit ribosomal RNA", at positions 524 to 776 of the family's 1533-position model. The record is from RNAcentral.